This 527-nucleotide ribosomal RNA is filed under the name uncultured Nitrosomonadaceae bacterium. RNAcentral's name for it is "bacterial SSU rRNA". It matches the Rfam family "Bacterial small subunit ribosomal RNA", at positions 8 to 526 of the family's 1533-position model. The record is from RNAcentral. Lineage: Bacteria; Pseudomonadati; Pseudomonadota; Betaproteobacteria; Nitrosomonadales; Nitrosomonadaceae.
AGAGUUUGAUCCUGGCUCAGAUUGAACGCUGGCGGAAUGCUUUACACAUGCAAGUCGAACGGCAGCACGGGAGCUUGCUCCUGGUGGCGAGUGGCGAACGGGUGAGUAAUACCUAGGAACAUGUCCAGUAGUGGGGGAUAACGCAGCGAAAGCUGUGCUAAUACCGCAUACGCCCUACGGGGGAAAGCGGGGGAUUCGCAAGAACCUCGCGUUAUUGGAGUGGCCUAGGCCUGAUUAGCUAGUUGGUGAGGUAAAGGCUCACCAAGGCGACGAUCAGUAGCCGGUCUGAGAGGAUGAUCAGCCACACUGGAACUGAGACACGGUCCAGACUCCUACGGGAGGCAGCAGUGGGGAAUUUUGGACAAUGGGGGAAACCCUGAUCCAGCCAUUCCGCGUGAGUGAAGAAGGCCUUCGGGUUGUAAAGCUCUUUCAGGAGGGAAGAAACGGUUGCAGCUAAUACCUGCGACUAAUGACGGUACCUUCAGAAGAAGCACCGGCUAACUACGUGCCAGCAGCCGCGGUAAUAC